Molecule: ribosomal RNA, 429 nt
Filed under: Acidobacteriota bacterium
Lineage: Bacteria; Pseudomonadati; Acidobacteriota
Description: Acidobacteria bacterium partial 16S ribosomal RNA
Rfam family: Bacterial small subunit ribosomal RNA
Source: RNAcentral
UGGGGAAUUUUGGACAAUGGGGGAAACCCUGAUCCAGCCAUCCCGCGUGUGCGAUGAAGGCCUUCGGGUUGUAAAGCACUUUUGGCAGGAAAGAAACGUCAUGGGUUAAUACCCCGUGAAACUGACGGUACCUGCAGAAUAAGCACCGGCUAACUACGUGCCAGCAGCCGCGGUAAUACGUAGGGUGCAAGCGUUAAUCGGAAUUACUGGGCGUAAAGCGUGCGCAGGCGGUUCGGAAAGAAAGAUGUGAAAUCCCAGAGCUCAACUUUGGAACUGCAUUUUUAACUACCAGGCUAGAGUGUGUCAGAGGGAGGUGGAAUUCCGCGUGUAGGAGUGAAAUGCGUAGAUAUGCGAAGGAACACCGAUGGCGAAGGCAGCCUCCUGGAAUAACACUGACGCUCAUGCAAGAAAGCGUGGGGAGCAAACAGG